RNAcentral lists this ribosomal RNA (690 nucleotides) under Pseudomonas plecoglossicida. RNAcentral's name for it is "bacterial SSU rRNA". It matches the Rfam family "Bacterial small subunit ribosomal RNA", at positions 78 to 765 of the family's 1533-position model. The record is from RNAcentral. Lineage: Bacteria; Pseudomonadati; Pseudomonadota; Gammaproteobacteria; Pseudomonadales; Pseudomonadaceae.
GCUUGCUCCUUGANUAGCGGCGGACGGGUGAGUAAUGCCUAGGAAUCUGCCUGGUAGUGGGGGACAACGUUUCGAAAGGAACGCUAAUACCGCAUACGUCCUACGGGAGAAAGCAGGGGACCUUCGGGCCUUGCGCUAUCAGAUGAGCCUAGGUCGGAUUAGCUAGUUGGUGGGGUAAUGGCUCACCAAGGCGACGAUCCGUAACUGGUCUGAGAGGAUGAUCAGUCACACUGGAACUGAGACACGGUCCAGACUCCUACGGGAGGCAGCAGUGGGGAAUAUUGGACAAUGGGCGAAAGCCUGAUCCAGCCAUGCCGCGUGUGUGAAGAAGGUCUUCGGAUUGUAAAGCACUUUAAGUUGGGAGGAAGGGCAGUAAGCUAAUACCUUGCUGUUUUGACGUUACCGACAGAAUAAGCACCGGCUAACUCUGUGCCAGCAGCCGCGGUAAUACAGAGGGUGCAAGCGUUAAUCGGAAUUACUGGGCGUAAAGCGCGCGUAGGUGGUUCGUUAAGUUGGAUGUGAAAGCCCCGGGCUCAACCUGGGAACUGCAUCCAAAACUGGCGAGCUAGAGUACGGUAGAGGGUGGUGGAAUUUCCUGUGUAGCGGUGAAAUGCGUAGAUAUAGGAAGGAACACCAGUGGCGAAGGCGACCACCUGGACUGAUACUGACACUGAGGUGCGAAAGCGUGGG